UACAGUCAGUGAAAUCUGGCGACCCUGAAGACAUGUCAUUGCGCAUACAGGACAUGCUAAACUCUUGGGGGAUGUAGGACCAACGCAAAACAAACGCAGACAUAGUCGUUGGAAGAAGCGGUGCUGGGACGCUAGUGCCCACUGUCACAGCCUCAGCACCCCCUGAUGAGAUUCAAAACCUCACUAUAUAUUUGACUUUUUGUCCACUAAUGAUGCAUUCCAUAGGCGGAAAUCCCGACGCGAUGCCCCCAUCCUGGGGAAAACUAUGAUUUGUCCCCCCCAAUAUAUCACUGUUUCAAAAGAUUCGCCUCACAAUGGUUUGAUCCACUGCCCUCCAGCCUUGAGCAGCCGCACCUUGUUCAGGAGUUUGCUAAACUGUCUUGCGGAAGGGCACGGUGCUAAAAGGUUGAACUUCGGAAAGGAUGUCAGCAGGCCAACUUCUGGAAGAUUAUUCGCUCCACAGGAAACCGGUCACCUUAUCUUCCCAACCAGACAACGUCAACCAAAAUGACUGUAUAGUUAUAGAAGUAUUGGCAGCCAAUACUGUAUGUCUCUGAAUGGUGUGAAAAGCGCAUGGCGAUAAAUUGAUCAGGACAGUGGACACAACAAUAGACAAAGAAUGAGCUCUCCGCUUUCUUUGCAAUCUCUAUUAGCCACUCUGUGUAUUCUAGACUCGCUUUAAUCCUCUCUUCUCACAUCUUUUCACAUUUUUCUCUCUUCCUGGGAAAUGAGUCACCUUGCGUUACUUGCCUAGCUUACCCUCCUGCGUCAGACUGAGACUCACUGAAUUGUGUAUGCAGUAAGACCCUCUGUGUUAGUUUACGGGGGUGAAACACUCAACUGGAAAGAGCUUCAAAAAGCAACAUGUGUCUUAAGGAUUGUCUUUGUGGAAACAUGCUGUUCUACCAGCAUGCACGUCAAUGCUGGCUACGCUAUUGGAUUAGAGCCAUGGCCCUGUGAUAGCCCAGAUAGCGUGCAUUUUGAGUUGGCUAUAUAUUUGCAGUGCUGGCAGGCACCAGACACAUAAUUCCUGUGGGUCUUUUUAUAACCUCAAACCACAUUAUAAUAAUUUUACAGUAGGCCUAGGAUCUGAGUGACAAUGGCCACUGCUGUCGGGUCUAGCAUAUGGAUAUUUCACCCAAGAUCCAUUGAUUAUGUGCUGGCAGGGAAUAAUUAAUCUUUAACAAAUUCUCAAGUUCACUCAUAACACACAGAGCAAAGAAUGUAGAAAACAACUAGUUUUACUAGUUGAGAAGGAGUUCUAAAUACUUUUUUUUGCUCCGUGGGAACGAUGCCUUCUUUUCAUCAGGCCUUACCAUGAUUAUAUUUGUAUUGCUGUACGUUUCAUUCAAAAUUGCCCACCAUUAUGUAAACGUCACUAAAUUAAUCUUCAGUCAUCAAGCCUUCUUUCAAACUCUUUCUG
Molecule: long non-coding RNA, 1423 nt
Organism: Esox lucius (northern pike)
Lineage: Eukaryota; Metazoa; Chordata; Actinopteri; Esociformes; Esocidae
Exons: 4
Source: RefSeq, a predicted model, not a curated record